UGAAGAAUAUUGGGCAAUGGGCGAAAGCCUGACCCAGCAACGCCGCGUGAGGGAAGAAGGUCUUCGGAUUGUAAACCUCUGUCCCAUGGGACGAAAAAAAUGACGGUACCAUGGGAGGAAGCCCCGGCUAACUACGUGCCAGCAGCCGCGGUAAUACGUAGGGGGCGAGCGUUGUCCGGAAUUAUUGGGCGUAAAGGGUGCGUAGGCGGCCUUUCAAGUUGGAUGUGAAAUCUCCGUGCUUAACAUGGAAAUUGCAUUCAAAACUGGAGGGCUUGAGUGUGGAAGAGGUAAGUGGAAUUCCCAGUGUAGCGGUGAAAUGCGUAGAUAUUGGGAGGAACACCAGUGGCGAAGGCGACUUACUGGGCCACAACUGACGCUGAGGCACGAAAGCGUGGGGAGCAAACA
Molecule: ribosomal RNA, 405 nt
Filed under: uncultured prokaryote
Description: bacterial SSU rRNA
Rfam family: Bacterial small subunit ribosomal RNA
Source: RNAcentral